GAUGAAGAACGUUAGUGAAAUGCGAUAAGUAAUGUGAAUUGCAGAAUUCAGUGAAUCAUCGAAUCUUUGAACGCACAUUGCGCCCGCCAGUAUUCUGGCGGGCAUGCCUGUCCGAGCGUCAUUUCAACCCUCGAACCCCUCCGGGGGGUCGGCGUUGGGGAUCGGCCCUGCCUCUUGGCGGUGGCCGUCUCCGAAAUACAGUGGCGGUCUCGCCGCAGCCUCUCCUGCGCAGUAGUUUGCACACUCGCAUCGGGAGCGCGGCGCGUCCACAGCCGUUAAACACCCAACUUCUGAAAUGUUGACCUCGGAUCAGGUAGGAAUACCCGCUGAACUUAAGCAUAUCAAUAAGCGGAGGA
RNAcentral lists this unclassified non-coding RNA (356 nucleotides) under soil metagenome. Its description in RNAcentral is "partial contains 5.8S ribosomal RNA, internal transcribed spacer 2, and large subunit ribosomal RNA". The stretch from base 1 to 121 matches the Rfam family "5.8S ribosomal RNA", at positions 35 to 154 of the family's 154-position model. The record is from RNAcentral.